RNAcentral lists this ribosomal RNA (253 nucleotides) under uncultured bacterium. RNAcentral describes it as "partial 16S ribosomal RNA". It matches the Rfam family "Bacterial small subunit ribosomal RNA", at positions 524 to 776 of the family's 1533-position model. The record is from RNAcentral.
UACAGAGGUCUCAAGCGUUGUUCGGAUUUAUUGGGCGUAAAGAGCUCGUAGGCGGCUUGUCGCGUCGGCUGUGAAAUCCCGUGGCUCAACUGUGGGCGGGCAGCUGAUACGGGCAGGCUGGAGUUCGGUAGGGGAGACUGGAAUACUUGGUGUAGCAGUGAAAUGCGUAGAUAUCAAGUGGAACACCAGUGGCGAAGGCGAGUCUCUGGACAUUUCCUGACGCUGAGGCACGAAAGCCAGGGGAGCAAACGGG